This 490-nucleotide ribosomal RNA is filed under the name uncultured Sphingobacteriales bacterium. RNAcentral's name for it is "bacterial SSU rRNA". It matches the Rfam family "Bacterial small subunit ribosomal RNA", at positions 910 to 1382 of the family's 1533-position model. Lineage: Bacteria; Pseudomonadati; Bacteroidota; Sphingobacteriia; Sphingobacteriales. The record is from RNAcentral.
UCAGAAACUACAAAUGAAGUUCGACGGGGCCCGGCACAAGCGGAGGAGCAUGUGGUUUAAUUCGAUGAUACGCGAGGAACUUACCUGGGCUCGAACGUAAGAUGACUGUAGGUGAAAGCUUACAUCUCUUCGGAGCAUUUUACGAGGUGCUGCAUGGUUGUCGUCAGCUCGUGCCGUGAGGUGUCGGGUUAAGUCCCAUAACGAGCGCAACCCCACCUUUAGUUGCCAUCAGGUAAUGCUGGGGACUCUAAAGGAACUGCCUACGCAAGUAGUGAGGAAGGCGGGGAUGACGUCAAAUCAGCACGGCCCUUACGUCCAGGGCUACACACGUGCUACAAUGGCCGAUACAGAGGGCAGCUACCUGGUGACAGGAUGCAAAUCUCCAAAGUCGGUCUCAGUUCGGAUCGGAGUCUGCAACCCGACUCCGUGAAGUUGGAUUCGCUAGUAAUCGCGCAUCAGCCAUGGCGCGGUGAAUACGUUCCCGGGCCUC